This 373-nucleotide ribosomal RNA is filed under the name Pseudospeonomus raholai. RNAcentral describes it as "LSU rRNA". It matches the Rfam family "Eukaryotic large subunit ribosomal RNA", at positions 683 to 961 of the family's 3401-position model. Lineage: Eukaryota; Metazoa; Arthropoda; Insecta; Coleoptera; Chrysomelidae. The record is from RNAcentral.
UGCGCAAGUCAUUGGGACAUAAAGCGAAACCUAAAGGCGAAAUGAAAGUGAAUACACAUGUGCGCAUGUUGUUGUCGCGCCCGUGUAGCAUUUCGGUGGUGCACGCGCGUGCAACACGGUGUACAUAGAGGGAGGAUGGGCCGGCCCGCAGCCGGUCGGCUUCGCACUCCCGGGGCGUCUCGUGUUCAUUGUGAACUGAGGCGCACCUAGAGCGUACACGCUGGGACCCGAAAGAUGGUGAACUAUGCCUGGUCAGGACGAAGUCAGGGGAAACCCUGAUGGAGGUCCGUAGCGAUUCUGACGUGCAAAUCGAUCGUCGGAACUGGGUAUAGGGGCGAAAGACUAAUCGAACCAUCUAGUAGCUCGUUCCUUU